RNAcentral lists this ribosomal RNA (596 nucleotides) under uncultured Nitrosopumilales archaeon. RNAcentral's name for it is "bacterial SSU rRNA". It matches the Rfam family "Archaeal small subunit ribosomal RNA", at positions 325 to 922 of the family's 1478-position model. Lineage: Archaea; Thermoproteati; Nitrososphaerota; Nitrososphaeria; Nitrosopumilales. The record is from RNAcentral.
ACGGGGUGCAGCAGGCGCGAAAACUUUGCAAUGUGCGAAAGCACGACAAGGUUAAUCCGAGUGGUUUCUGCUAAAGGAACCUUUUGACAGUCCUAAAAACACUGUUGAAUAAGGGGUGGGCAAGUUCUGGUGUCAGCCGCCGCGGUAAAACCAGCACCUCAAGUGGUCAGGAUGAUUAUUGGGCCUAAAGCAUCCGUAGCCGGCUCUGUAAGUUUUCGGUUAAAUCUGUACGCUUAACGUACAGGCUGCUGGAAAUACUGCAGGGCUAGGGAGUGGGAGAGGUAGACGGUACUCGGGAGGAAGUGGUAAAAUGCUUUGAUCUCUCGAUGACCACCUGUGGCGAAGGCGGUCUACCAGAACACGUCCGACGGUGAGGGAUGAAAGCUGGGGGAGCAAACCGGAUUAGAUACCCGGGUAGUCCCAGCCGUAAACUAUGCAAACUCAGUGAUGCACUGGCUUGUGGCCAGUGCAGUGUUGCAGGGAAGCCGUUAAGUUUGCCGCCUGGGAAGUACGUACGCAAGUAUGAAACUUAAAGGAAUUGGCGGGGGAGCACCACAAGGGGUGAAGCCUGCGGUUCAAUUGGAGUCAACGCCGGA